This is a long non-coding RNA of Leopardus geoffroyi (Geoffroy's cat), 1412 nucleotides long. RefSeq lists it as uncharacterized. The record is from RefSeq and is a predicted model, not a curated record. NCBI's taxonomy places the organism in Eukaryota, Metazoa, Chordata, Mammalia, Carnivora, Felidae. The transcript has 2 exons.
UCACUAAUCUGUAAACAAUAAUUUCAUGUAGUAAAUUUAGCACUUUUUUAACCAGUACAAAAUCAAAACAUAAUCAUUUCUUGUAUAACACCACUGUAAAAUGUUCGUCCUUAGGUCUGAGCAGGUAAGGGCACUUUGCGUCGUUGUUUCCAACAUUCGAAAAACCUGAUUUGAAAACAACGUUAAUAGAAAUGACGGGUUUUGGCUUUUUUUGUUCCAUUUUGAACAUCAGGGAAGGUCAUCAGUGUAAAUAGGAAGUUAGUGUUUUGUGUCGUUUUUUUUUUGUUUUUUUUUUAAGUAGAACUUAAUCAUUUUUCUUCUAGACACCAUUAAAAAAAAAAAUCACUGUUCCUAUCAAAAGGUUCCACACCUGAGUUUUAACUUUUACAUAGGUUCAAGCUGUCUUACUGCUUUGAAACUGCACAGAACACAUACCUACUUCUGGCGUGUCUUUCUGAGUGAACGAGCAUGCAGUUCUUCUCACAGGACUCUAGGUCCAGUAACUUUAUAAAACAAUGGCUUUCAAACAAUUACUGUGGGAGACAAUUUUUUUUUUAAAGGCAAUUUAAAAUACUUGAUUCCAGAGUAAUAUAAAAAUAACUUUAAGAGCCUUGGCAAUAAAGGAAAAUGGCAGGCAACUUCAGUUUGGCAUUCUGUCCAAAAUUUCGAGAACAAAGACUGGUUACCACCACUUUUCUAAAACAAAGUGAGCCAUUUUAAAAGCUAAAGAACCCACUUAACAUGAUUUGAUCGCAAAGUUAGUAGACCACAAUUCUGUUUCCUCAGCUAAUACAGAAUUCUGGGAACAAAGUCCAUGAAGGAAACUUCAGUAACGUGCAUUAGAGGGUACUUCAGAUUAACUCGUCAUAGAAAGUUGCCUCUUGAGCCUUCAAAGUCCAUACCAAUUCUUUACCUCUGGUUGGUUAGCUGUUUUUUAAAAUUUAGGUUUCAAGGUGAAUUGCCCAGGGCUAUUUAUUUCCAUGAACCUAGCUUCAAAUCUAAAGGCAAAGUUGAAAUGCAUAUUUUUCUAUCUCCAGAAGAGAUGACCACAAAUGCUACUAUCCGUCCUAUGAUUCUUUUGUUCCACUCACAAUACAAAUAGCUUAUUCUUCUACCAAUCUAUGUCUCAUAAAGCAAUACUGAAAAGUUAAAUAGAAGAAAGUUACCAUAUAGACUGUGAAAAUGAUUUGCUGGUGGUGACUCUUAUACUUGAUUCUAAAUAGACUGAAUAAGAAGGGCACUUGGAAGAGGUGGCUCAAAUCUUGCUGUUUAAGGUCUCUUGAAAUUACCGGUUCUCCUAAAAUUUCAAAAGGCCUAAAACUUAGGCUUUUAAAGGCACAGAAGCAGUGACGGAAGCUUUUAUAGUUACUUAGAAAAAGCAAAACUUCAUAGUUUUCUCUCUCAAUGGUUGU